CAGUCGAGCGGCAGCGGGACCUUCGGGUUGCCGGCGAGCGGCGGACGGGUGAGUAAUGCCUAGGAAUCUGCCUGUUAGUGGGGGAUAACGCGGGGAAACUCGCGCUAAUACCGCAUACGUCCUACGGGAGAAAGUGGGGGACCCUCGGGCCUCACGCUAACAGAUGAGCCUAGGUCGGAUUAGCUGGUUGGUGGGGUAACGGCCCACCAAGGCGACGAUCCGUAACUGGUCUGAGAGGAUGAUCAGUCACACUGGAACUGAGACACGGUCCAGACUCCUACGGGAGG
Molecule: ribosomal RNA, 287 nt
Filed under: Azotobacter salinestris
Lineage: Bacteria; Pseudomonadati; Pseudomonadota; Gammaproteobacteria; Pseudomonadales; Pseudomonadaceae
Description: partial 16S ribosomal RNA
Rfam family: Bacterial small subunit ribosomal RNA
Source: RNAcentral